This 903-nucleotide ribosomal RNA is filed under the name Triticum aestivum (bread wheat). RNAcentral describes it as "partial small subunit ribosomal RNA". The record is from RNAcentral. Lineage: Eukaryota; Viridiplantae; Streptophyta; Magnoliopsida; Poales; Poaceae.
AUGUUGUUUCUCGCGUGCCACCUUCUCCUCUCCCUCGCCCUCAUCGUCGCCUCCCUCUCCCACCUAUUCUUCUCCUCCGUUGCCCACCAAUCCCCCGCGCACACUAACAACCACCGCUUUCGCAUCCUUCGACAUCCACUCUUUCGCAUACUCCCCGUCCUCGCUGCCCUCCCAUUCCCCUUCCUUCCCAUCGCCCCCACCUCUCGCCUACUCACAUUCACCCUCCUACCUCCCCUCCUCCUUCUACUCCCACUCCCCUUCCUCCCGGUCAACCACCUCCCACUCCUACGCCCUUUAUUCUUAUCCCUCCCUCUACUCCUCCAAGCCCGCGCCGUGGGUCUUCUCGCCGAUGCAUUCCCCGUAUCCGAUCUCCAGGUUCACACUCUCUCCAUCGCCACCCUCCUCCUCAUCACUGCCGCCACUACUUCCCUAGUAUCCACAUUGUCGCAGUCGAGAACCACCCAGCACUUGUUAGCGGAGACAUUGUUUACCUUUGUCGGUAUCGUUGGUGGCCUCUGGGCUCUCCAAAGUGGCCUCAACCUUUACGUCGACUCCUGCGUCCCCGCGGGUUGCCACCGGCUGAUGGACACAACUCUCGCACCAGCCACACGUUGUGACGUUGAUGAAGCUAGGCUACAGGCCAUUGCGUUCAUGGAUGUCAUGCUGUCAGUGCAUUGCUUGAUUGCGGCAACUUUUGUGUCUGGGUUGCAUCUCGGGGUGGCAAACAGGUACGUGGUUGAUGGUGGGGGUGUUAAUGUUGGUAUGGGGACAGGUCGAAGGCAUAAUAGCAUUGGGGGUUCAUAUGAUGCCCUGCCCAUGGUGCCUUUGUCAUCGGGGGCCAUUGAGGAGACAGAGUAUUUGCCUGUGAAGGGCGUCGUUGGCAAGGCUGUGGCACAGGAAUAA